This 65-nucleotide transfer RNA is filed under the name Cardiastethus sp. Its description in RNAcentral is "tRNA-Asn". Lineage: Eukaryota; Metazoa; Arthropoda; Insecta; Hemiptera; Anthocoridae. The record is from RNAcentral.
UUAAUAGAAGCCAAAGAGAGGCAUUUCAUUGUUAAUGAAAAUAAUGGUUAAUAAACCCUAUUAAA